This 497-nucleotide ribosomal RNA is filed under the name uncultured Eubacteriales bacterium. RNAcentral describes it as "uncultured Clostridiales bacterium partial 16S ribosomal RNA". The record is from RNAcentral. Lineage: Bacteria; Bacillati; Bacillota; Clostridia; Eubacteriales.
CACGUAGUUAGCCGGGGCUUCUUAGUCAGGUACCGUCAUUCUCUUCCCUGCUGAUAGAGCUUUACAUACCGAAAUACUUCUUCACUCACGCGGCGUUGCUGCAUCAGGGUUUCCCCCAUUGUGCAAUAUUCCCCACUGCUGCCUCCCGUAGAAGUUUGGGCCGUGUCUCAGUCCCAAUGUGGCCGGCCACCCUCUCAGGUCGGCUACUGAUCGUCGCCUUGGUGGGCCGUUACCUCACCAACCAGCUAAUCAGACGCGGGUCCAUCUCAUACCACCGGAGUUUUUCACACCAGACCAUGCGGUCCUGUGCGCUUAUGCGGUAUUAGCAGUCAUUUCUAACUGUUAUCCCCCUGUACUGAGGCAGGUUACCCACGCGUUAACUCACCCGUCCGCCGCUCAGUCAUACACGCUUCCAUCCGAAAACUUCCCACAUCUAUGCUUCGCUCGACUUUGCAUGUGUUAAGCACGCCGUCCAGCGUUCAUCCUGACGCCAGGUA